UGAAAGGCGAAACGUAAUGUGAAUCGCAACUAACAGUGAAUCAUCGAAUCUUUGAACGCAGGCCGCACUUUUCGGCGUCUCAUUUCGGUGAAAUGCCGGGAAGUAUCUAUGUAUGAGUGCCAGUCAAUGUAUUUUGGUUCAGGAAGGAAUAUUAAAUUUUAAUAAAAAAUUCCUGAUUACAAAGCAUGUCUAAAGUGACAUGUCACAUUGAGAUUUUAAUCUAGUCUGGCCUCAUAUAUGGAAGGUUACCCGCUGGAUUUAA
Molecule: unclassified non-coding RNA, 262 nt
Filed under: uncultured fungus
Lineage: Eukaryota; Fungi
Description: sequence contains ITS1
Rfam family: 5.8S ribosomal RNA (bases 1-122)
Source: RNAcentral